This 288-nucleotide long non-coding RNA is filed under the name Prunus persica (peach). RNAcentral describes it as "long non-coding RNA (PPER_LNC005773)". The record is from RNAcentral. Lineage: Eukaryota; Viridiplantae; Streptophyta; Magnoliopsida; Rosales; Rosaceae.
UUUUACUGCUGAUUUGGGAGAGAAUACUUUUUGGGGUGGUAAAGCUGGUGUGCUGCUUUUGGGCGAUUGCGUUUUGUUAGGCCCCUUUUUGGUAUAUGACAUCUUUACAGACACAGUGAAUAUGGUUUCCUUGUAACUAUGAUGGCCCUGUGAUUUUGUGGAUCAGGGCCUUUUGUCCUUACUUUUUUGGAGCUGCUGGAUAUGACUCGGUUUCAAUAGAUACAACCACCAAUUUCUGUAAUUGGAUAUGACUUUUGUUCAUAUUUUAAUAGGCGAGAAGACGUUUUU